GAUGAAGAACGCAGUGAAAUGCGAUACGUAAUGUGAAUUGCAGAAUUCAGUGAAUCAUCGAGUCUUUGAACGCACAUUGCGCCCCCUGGUAUUCCGGGGGGCAUGCCUGUCCGAGCGUCAUUGCUGCCCUCAAGCACGGCUUGUGUGUUGGGCCUCCGUCCCCCUCCCGGGGGACGGGCCCGAAAGGCAGCGGCGGCACCGCGUCCGGUCCUCGAGCGUAUGGGGCUUCGUCACCCGCUCUUGUAGGCCCGGUCGGCGCUUGCCGACACAUCAAUCUUUUUUCCAGGUUGACCUCGGAUCAGGUAGGGAUACCCGCUGAACUUAAGCAUAUCAAUAAGCGGAGGA
This 345-nucleotide unclassified non-coding RNA is filed under the name soil metagenome. Its description in RNAcentral is "partial contains 5.8S ribosomal RNA, internal transcribed spacer 2, and large subunit ribosomal RNA". The stretch from base 1 to 120 matches the Rfam family "5.8S ribosomal RNA", at positions 35 to 154 of the family's 154-position model. The record is from RNAcentral.